CUGGGAUUGGGGAAAGGAGUUUGGGGGGGUACGGACGAAGAAAGCGUCUUGAUAUUCUCGUGCCCACCGGCGGCCUUGCAUAGCGCAUUGUGGGUAACCGCCGCACGGCCGCAGCAUCCUGGGCGCGUCUCAGUUCCGUUGCGUGUGGCGUCCUACCCCUGCCGCGUGCACCGCCGCUGCCACGCCGGCCUCGCCUCGCCUCGCCUCGCCUCCGAUCCAUCAGCUGUGCCGACACGGGGGCUGCAGCCGACUCGGCGUAAUCUGCCAUGCGCGGGGUUUUGCGGCGGCCUCAUCACCGAAGGCGUCGCACGGCGGCUUGGUCAUAGCGCUUUGCCUGUGCGUGUGUGCUCAGCUGUCAUUUUGAGCCCGUCUUUAGGCCUUUGUUUAGUUUCGAAUUUUUUUUUUGUUUUUGUAACUGUAGCACUUUCGUUUUUAUUUGAUAAAUAUUAUUUAAUUAUAGAGUAAUUAGGCUUAAAAAAUUCAUCUCGCGAUUUACAGAUGAACUGUACAAUUAGUUUUUAUUUUCGUCUAUAUUUAGUGCUCCAUGUAUAUGCUGCAAGAUUCGAUGUGACGGAAAAUCUUAAAAAGUUUUUAGUUUUUGGGGUGAACUAAACAAGGCCUUA
This 623-nucleotide long non-coding RNA is filed under the name Sorghum bicolor (sorghum). RNAcentral describes it as "long non-coding RNA (SBIC_LNC018198)". The record is from RNAcentral. Lineage: Eukaryota; Viridiplantae; Streptophyta; Magnoliopsida; Poales; Poaceae.